UACACAGAUGGGAUUCCGGGGCCCAGAGA
RNAcentral lists this non-coding RNA (29 nucleotides) under Mus musculus (house mouse). The record is from RNAcentral. Lineage: Eukaryota; Metazoa; Chordata; Mammalia; Rodentia; Muridae.